This 2264-nucleotide long non-coding RNA is filed under the name Mytilus galloprovincialis (Mediterranean mussel). The record is from RNAcentral. Lineage: Eukaryota; Metazoa; Mollusca; Bivalvia; Mytilida; Mytilidae.
UCAUUUUUGCUCUGUAGGCUGAAAAACACAUGACAAAAAAAGAAAUGUUUAUUUCAAAUAUGCUUGUUACAUGUAUAUCAUGAAUUUAAAUUGUUUGAUGUUGCUAUUGACUUCAUUUUAUUGUACACUUAUAUCAAAUAUUUGUCAUAUGGCUGCAAGGAAAUAGAAUGCUUUGAAAAUAAUUGGAUAAACAUUUAAAGAGAUUUAAUAAAUUUACCAUAUAUUAUUCUUUUAUUGUGCAAAUGAAUUUGUUGUCCUGACACCUAGUAUAUAAGAGGUUAAAAGAACACAGUCAUCAAGCAAAAUGUUUCAAGAGCCCUAAUUGCUCAUCUGGCAAAAAUAGGGCAAUUUUAUAUUGAACAAAUAAGAUAAAAAAUCUGAAAUUUUGUACAUUUUUUUUCCACUUGUCAGAUUUUUCUCUAGAAAGUCUACAUAUGGUAUAAUUGUCGAGGUAUGAAACAGCUAAAGUAUGGAACUCGCUUACACCUGAGACUACUAGAACACCCCAUAGCUACGGGUAUGGUAUGCAUAAUUUUAGUCUAUUUAAGUCUGUGUUUUAUAUGUUAAAUUCAGUUGUAAGAGCACCUCAGACUACAUACUGUUUUUCUUUAAAAUAAAGACCUAGACUAAGAUAUAACCACUUAUUUACUUACUUUAACGUUAGAACACUGUUAUGUACAAAAUAUUAACUUUAAUUUCCAUAGUGAAAAAAAUAAGCUAAAAAUUGCAAUAAAUAUGACAUUUUCUUUGACUACAGGUAUAAACUAGUCAAAAUUAAAUAAGUUAGACAGUAACUAUACAAAGUCUGUAACUAUUCAUUAUAAUGAAAAAUAUCACCUCAAAUAUCUGCAAGGAGGGGCUAAAUAAAAGAGCAAACUGGAUUUAAAAAAUAUAAAUGACUGAAUUGAAUUUGAUACAAUAAAUACCCUUCAAACACAAUUUUGGUAAAGUGAGAAACUAAUAUGACUUUUUUUUAAUAAUGGCAUUAUUGUACAACAGUAUUUAAAGAUGGAGAUUCUGUUUUACAAUGGUUCUUUCAUCUAAAUAAGGCUAGGUUAGCAAAACAGUUCAAUUAACUCAGAUGUACUCUUGCAUGUAAACAAAUCAACACAAAUGUAAUUGUUACCUUUUUGUGUUUAGAUAUAUAAGUUACACUUACACACACUUAGUAUCAAUCUGAUUACAAAGUUUGAUUAGAAAAUAAUAUAUAAAAAUAAAAUGUUUUAUCAUAUGCUGAUUAGUUUCGUCUUGAUUCACACAAACAAUACAUAAACAGAAUCAAACAUACAGAUUAAUUUAUAUAAAAAAAAUAUGAGAAAGAAAAAAGAUGAAAUUAAUAUACAGUUAAUUAAAUACAAACAGUUUGAUUACAAUAAUGAUAUUAAAUGUAAAUAUAUUUAUGAAUGUUACUAUAUAAUCCUAUGAAUACACCAAGGAUUUGUAUAGUAAGAAUAAAAAAAAGUACCUGAAGAAAUUAAAAUAGAACUUGUUGCCAAAAUACUAAAUCAUUCAGUAGAAAGGACUUUCAUGGAAAUGAUGAUAUUUUAUUACUUUUGUGCAUUUGAGGUUGAUUAAUUUUCAAUUGAAAUCCCUUGAAUGACUCCUAACCAUCCCACAAUUUUGUUUUAAUCUAAGGUAUACUGUACUGUGUACAUGAAUUAAAUACUCACAAAACUUAAUAUAGAACUGUUGUGUAAUAUGAUAUGCAUGUCAACAAAUGAAAAAAUAAAUUUUAUUACAAAUCCAAAAAGUGAUGAAGAAUUUGGGUUUGUAAAAAAAUAUUGAUGUUUGGACGAAUUGAAAAAUAUAGGACCUUAAUUAAAGAAAACUUGAUAUAUAUAUAACAAUGAAUAAAAUCUAUAAUACAUCUGGAAUUUUUUUUAGAUAGACAUGGAAAAAAAAUGAAUAUUUUAUUGAAAAACAAAAUCGCCAUAUAUUCACAGUUAUGAAAGUUACAGUUUCAUAUUGUCAAACAGGCAUUUCAUAUUUAUCUGUGGCUUCAAUCAUCAGCAAAUGCCAAUUUGAAUUUUAGUACUUUGGAAUUUUGAAGAGUUAUUAUUAAAGGUGCAUGUUUUUAUUCAACUGCCCCACUUAAAAAAAAAAAUCCAAAAGGAGUGAAUAUGGAAUCAUACUUCUUUUUUCAUUUUAUUUUAUUUUUUACAUCCAAUAUGUAAACCUUAUCAUGCCUUGACCAUUUAAAUUGCUGAUCAAGAAAAAAGAGAAAAUCACCAAAAUAAAAAAAAAAGAAAUCAAUAAACAGAAAU